CCUAGGAUUUCCUUUAGUUUUCCCUUUUCUCCUUCUCUCUCUUCCUCCUCGGCCGCACGGACUAAUCUCUCUUUCUUUCUUUCUCAUCUCUCUGAUCUCACCGAAAUCGCCACUUCCAGCCACUACCACACUACACCGCCAUCACCAUAACACAAAUCCGACCAAGAUCCAGUUGUUUCGCCGCCGAUCAAGACGUUUCGGUCACCGCACUCGACCUCCAAACCUGCGACGCCACUGUUCCACAACCUUCACCUGUUUCCAGUCAUCCCCUUUACCACACCACCAUCACCGCUGCACUCAGGGAGCAAUGGAGAAGAAAACCCAGAGGUUUCAUCACCCACCGAUGCCGGACGAGGCCGUACAAGUUGUCGCCGAAAUCUGGGAUUCUGCAAGUAUCGAUUCGUCGUUUCCGGCCACUCGAGCUGCACGACCACCAUAGUUGGAAUCAUAGCCUCUUCAUUUUUCAAAACCCUCUAGCUCCGACCUUUGCUUCAGCCAGAACAGCCGCACUCGCUGCCACUGCCGUGUGGACCACCGUGACUCCGCCACCUGAUUUCUGGGCCAUCUUUAUUAGUUUUUGAUUAGGCAUUCUGAAGUUUUUGGAGAAAGGAAUGGGCAUUGGUUCAGUUUGAUGUAUAAUGAAGGAAGGAGUUUGAAUGGUUGUUGGUGGUGGAAGACUACACUUAGUAAGAAUUGGCCCUCUGUUUGGAGAUGAAGAAUCGGACUCGAGCGUGACUACUUGAGAUAGAACGAAAGCUCAAUAUCGAAAAUGAUUGAACGGAGAAAUUUCCGAGCUCUUGACUUAGGAUGGAUGAGCUGACGGUUAUUGCAUUUGAAUCACUUUUGCAGGGCUAGAUUAGUUGAGGUCAGGCGUACAUGAAGUUGAGGCAUAGUUGUCACUGCUUCCGCAUUGUAGGAUCUGUCGAUCCUUCACCCUCUUUACUUUUAUUUCUAUUAUAUCUUUUGUUUUAGAAUUGCUCUGAUAAUCUGUAGGUUAAUGUUAUUAAGUUGAGAUUUGUGUGUUGUGAAUUGGAAGAUGUUGUGAUUUGGGGAGCAGGGUGGCUCCAGGAGAAAAAGAUGGAUUGCUUAGAAGUUUGAAUGUCUUUCUACAGGCUUUGGGUAGUCCAUUUUUAGGGAGAGUUCCGCCAAAUCUUUGGUAGAAUUUCCUCUAAGGUGGGCCCGCAGAGUCACUUCGGAUUUCAGGGUGAAAUCCGAGGCGGGUCCUGUCACUAUCAACUAAUCAGAUAUCCACCAGGUCAUCCAAAAGGGAAAUCAAACCGCUUGAAAAAUGAUGGGAACCAUGGUCAUAUUUCUGCAGCCAAUCAAGUCUCCGAAUGAUCGACUAAAGAUGAGGUAAAAUCUGUGAUAUCAGGAAUUUCCGAAGCCCAACUUCAACAACUCUUGUCUUUUCUUAGUACCAAAGAUGGGAGUGCUAAUGAUGGUGGUACUAAUUCUCAAGCUCAUGCAGCCGUGACCAUACUAGGAUCUGGUUACGAGGAGAAUGAUUGGUUUGGGUAAACAGCGUAAUGGCCUAUACUUGGUGGCAUUAGCGACGAAGAAAACAUUGACCAACCCUCCUUCAGUCUUAAACCACCAACUAGCUUGCAACCUUACCACCUCAUCCACUGAUCUGUGGCACAGUCGUUUAGGCCAUGUUUCCUUUUCUCGAUUAAGUUUUAUUGCCAAGAAUUUUUUGAAUAUUUCUGUUAAUUCUAAUAACGCUUGCUAUAUAUGUCCUUUGGCUAAGCAAAGUCGUUUGCCUUUUGUUACUA
Rosa chinensis is the source of this 1772-nucleotide long non-coding RNA. RefSeq lists it as uncharacterized. The transcript is spliced from 5 exons. The record is from RefSeq and is a predicted model, not a curated record. Lineage: Eukaryota; Viridiplantae; Streptophyta; Magnoliopsida; Rosales; Rosaceae.